This 345-nucleotide long non-coding RNA is filed under the name Oryza brachyantha (malo sina). RNAcentral describes it as "long non-coding RNA (OBRA_LNC003537)". The record is from RNAcentral. Lineage: Eukaryota; Viridiplantae; Streptophyta; Magnoliopsida; Poales; Poaceae.
UUCCUUACAGCAUGCUAGAGAAAAGAAGUUGACAGCUAUACAGUUACUGAUUCUGAUUACUGUACUUUGGAUUUAUUAUUAUCAUAAGUAGUGUUCGAGCUCACAAGGCUAGAAUGUCUUGUGUGCGAAAUAGUGCCAUUGGUUAGUGAAGUUAGCUGACAAUCGUCAUAUCAUACCCAUAGUCUAAGGACUCUAAAGAAGAUAGUGAACCUGCGGUUGUGCUGUCUCCAAUCCCACGAGCCCAAUAGGAAGAGCUAGUCCUCUAAAGUAAAGUAGGCGAAUUCUGGCUAAAUAAAAGAAUUCUUACUUUCACGGCCAUCAAACAUUCCAAGACAUCUCUUCAAG